Molecule: long non-coding RNA, 477 nt
Filed under: Equus caballus (horse)
Lineage: Eukaryota; Metazoa; Chordata; Mammalia; Perissodactyla; Equidae
Description: lncRNA (ENSECAG00000047019.1)
Source: RNAcentral
CGUGUCCACCUCCUCAGCUCCCACGCCAGGGCUGUGCCUCGCCUCUUCCCACUCUCCCACAGCCUCCCUGCCCAACGGGAUUCCAGAGACUGGGAGGAAAAAGCUUCAACUUCUGGCUGCUGUGGGAGGCUCGUUCCCGAGAAGAAAAAUGACCUCUGGUUGCAGUUCGCAUGGGACAUCUCCCCAGCUAGGCUGGGAGCUCGCUGAGGGCAGGACCUUGGCCCCUGAGAUCAAAGCCCUGGAAACCUUUCAAUCCAGCCUCUCAGGAAGAAAUAAAUCACAGAGCAAUGGUGUAAGAGGAUGCUGACCUCUGGGCUUUGAUUGAGAAGUAAUGUGAGACAGGACCUCUCACACUGGCUUGGAACCCUUCCUGCCUCAGUUUGCUCUGAGUGUUAGUGGCCUACACAAAGAUCUUAAACCCCACCAUUCACAUCUCUGAAUCUCCCACAGCAUCUAGCAGAACACAGUAAAAAGUAC